AACUUAUCUAGAGAGGCAGAGGGACUGGCCCUAUGACGCCCGGCAACCAUUAGGCAGACUUGCUUAAAAAGGUGCUAAUUCCUGCAGGGAUUUAUUCCUGGAAGAUAAGAG
RNAcentral lists this non-coding RNA (111 nucleotides) under Salinicoccus halodurans. Its description in RNAcentral is "SAM-I sequence". It matches the Rfam family "SAM riboswitch aptamer (S box leader)". From Rfam's summary of the family: The SAM riboswitch is found upstream of a number of genes which code for proteins involved in methionine or cysteine biosynthesis in Gram-positive bacteria. The SAM riboswitch acts at the level of transcription termination control. The record is from RNAcentral. Lineage: Bacteria; Bacillati; Bacillota; Bacilli; Caryophanales; Staphylococcaceae.